GGGGAUAUGGCGGAAUUGGUAGACGCGCUAGCUUCAGGAGUUAGUGGCAGCAAUGCCGUGAGAGUUCAACUCUCUCUAUCCCCA
RNAcentral lists this transfer RNA (84 nucleotides) under Patescibacteria group bacterium. Its description in RNAcentral is "tRNA-Leu". It matches the Rfam family "tRNA". Rfam says of the family: Transfer RNA (tRNA) molecules are approximately 80 nucleotides in length. Their secondary structure includes four short double-helical elements and three loops (D, anti-codon, and T loops). RNAcentral also lists the same sequence under 2 other names. The record is from RNAcentral.